CAGGGAGACAACAAAAUGUUUAAUAUUAUUAUUUUGUCACCUUAGGUCGAUCGGUAUCUCACGUUUUUAAUUUAUUAAGAAUUUCAUUUCCUAAGUUUUUCUAGGUCACACCCAUUAUUUUCCUGGGCCAUUAGCUCAGGUGGUUAGAGCGCACCCCUGAUAAGGGUGAGGUCCCUGGUUCAAGUCCAGGAUGGCCCAUAUCUCUAUGUUGGGGGUAUAGCUCAGUUGGUAGAGCGCCUGCUUUGCAAGCAGGAUGUCAGCGGUUCGAGUCCGCUUACCUCCACUGAUUACCACCUCUUCCAUAAUUCGUAGAAGGGAAAUGUUAUGUGUUGUGAUCAACUUCUGAACGAAUCUAGCUUCCUAAUGAAAUCAUUAAGAUGCUGGACUCAUUGAAUUAAUUUCAUUGUUUUCAGAGAACCUUGACAACUGCAUAGAUUAUUUUUAAAGACAAUAAGCAUCUUUAAUGAUGCAGAUUUAUUAUUUGUGCGAAUGCAUUAAUAACAAUUCUAUUAAGCUGAUGCUUCAAUUUUGAAGUUAUU
This 539-nucleotide transfer RNA is filed under the name uncultured Prochlorococcus sp. RNAcentral describes it as "partial 16S-23S ribosomal RNA intergenic spacer". The stretch from base 211 to 283 matches the Rfam family "tRNA". Lineage: Bacteria; Bacillati; Cyanobacteriota; Cyanophyceae; Synechococcales; Prochlorococcaceae. The record is from RNAcentral.